Mastomys coucha (southern multimammate mouse) is the source of this 558-nucleotide long non-coding RNA. RefSeq lists it as uncharacterized. The record is from RefSeq and is a predicted model, not a curated record. Lineage: Eukaryota; Metazoa; Chordata; Mammalia; Rodentia; Muridae. The transcript is spliced from 4 exons.
GAGUCAGGUGGGCCUGUAGGAAAACAGUCCAUGCCCCAAACUAUGGGCAAAGGAAGUCCAGAGGAAGAAAGGACAGAAAAGGGCAGGAAAACUGAAACGCUGGGUCUGGGGCUGUGCACCUGUCAAGUAAUCACUCAGAAGGCAAAGCUAGAAGGAACUCAGCUUCCACAGCAGCUAACGCCAUAGACAGAGAGCCUUUCUCAAAGAGUAACUGAGAAAGUUGUGGCUUUCUACAGUGGUCUUCAAAUGCUGCAAAAAGAAGUUUCUCGGAUCAGCAGUGAGAGCAACACUGUCUGUGGAUAUAAAGGCUUCUUUGCUGUCUCCCUGGAACCUAGAAACUAUGCCAAGCCCAUACAGGCAGGAAGCCUCAGCCUCCAUGGGCCUGGAUGCAGAACUGCAGCUGCAGGCCUGACCACUGUGCUUCAAAACCACUUCCCUUCUCUGUGCCCGACCUUCAUCUUCAUGAGGGGAUGGAGACCUCUGCAGGCCACUGCGGAGAUGCCUGGAGACACCUAGACAUGCUUCUUAAAUAUUAGCCACGAGCUAAGUGUAUGAAGA